This 253-nucleotide ribosomal RNA is filed under the name uncultured bacterium. RNAcentral describes it as "partial 16S ribosomal RNA". It matches the Rfam family "Bacterial small subunit ribosomal RNA", at positions 524 to 776 of the family's 1533-position model. The record is from RNAcentral.
UACGUAGGGGGCUAGCGUUGUCCGGAAUCACUGGGCGUAAAGCGCGCGUAGGCGGCCCGGUAAGUCCGCUGUGAAAGUCAAAGGCUCAACCUUUGAAUGUCAGCGGAUACUGCCGGGCUAGAGUCCGGAAGAGGCGAGUGGAAUUCCUGGUGUAGCGGUGGAAUGCGCAGAUAUCAGGAGGAACACCAACGGCGAAGGCAGCUCGCUGGGACGGUACUGACGCUGAGGCGCGAAAGCGUGGGGAGCGAACAGG